This 523-nucleotide ribosomal RNA is filed under the name uncultured bacterium. RNAcentral describes it as "bacterial SSU rRNA". It matches the Rfam family "Bacterial small subunit ribosomal RNA", at positions 26 to 518 of the family's 1533-position model. The record is from RNAcentral.
AGGACGAACGCUGGCGGCGUGCCUAAUACAUGCAAGUCGAACGGUCUUUCUAUGGAAGCUUGCUUCCACUGAGAAGAUAGUGGCGAACGGGUGAGUAACACGUGGGUAACCUGCCCAUAAGAGGGGGAUAACAUCCGGAAACGGGUGCUAAUACCGCAUAGUUUUCUUGAUCGCAUGAUCGGGAAAGGAAAGACGGCCUUUGUGCUGUCGCUUAUGGAUGGACCCGCGGCGUAUUAGUUAGUUGGUGAGGUAACGGCUCACCAAGACGAUGAUACGUAGCCGACCUGAGAGGGUGAUCGGCCACAUUGGGACUGAGACACGGCCCAAACUCCUACGGGAGGCAGCAGUAGGGAAUCUUCCGCAAUGGACGAAAGUCUGACGGAGCAACGCCGCGUGAGUGAAGAAGGGUUUUUUACCGGAUCGUAAAACUCUGUUGUCAGAGAAGAACAAGUUGGAGAGUAACUGCUCCAGCCUUGACGGUAUCUGACCAGAAAGCCACGGCUAACUACGUGCCAGCAGCAGC